This is a long non-coding RNA of Neofelis nebulosa (Clouded leopard), 721 nucleotides long. RefSeq lists it as uncharacterized. The record is from RefSeq and is a predicted model, not a curated record. Lineage: Eukaryota; Metazoa; Chordata; Mammalia; Carnivora; Felidae. The transcript is spliced from 2 exons.
GGUGUGGGUGUUAUAACAACACUCAGGAUGAGUUCUGCCCUCUUGACAAAUCUUCAAGUGUAUAAUACGGUACUAAUUACAGGCAGGAUGAUGUACAGAUCUCCAGAACUCACUUGCCUGACUGGAACUCUGCACACCGAACAGCGACUCCCUGUGCCCACCCCCCCCCCCCCCCAGCCCCUGGCAACCACCGUUCUAUUCUAGCUUCUAUGAGGUGGAGUAUUCUAGAUGCCUCAAGUAAGUGGAAUCAUGCAACAUCUGUAUGGAGGGUCUAGUAGGGAACAUAACAUGUAGUUCGUACCAUGUCUGUGUACUUUAAAUACCUCGUGACAGAUGAAGGCCAACAAGGGACUACAGCUCCUUCUAGAAGCCCUGCUGUUUCUCUACACACUUGGACCUUAUCUGAUACCUAUUCCUUCUAGAUGUGACACAGACCAGGAAGAAACAGGCCCCCGCCAGCAUCGACAGGAACAGAAAGAGUCCCACAGCAAUCACGAUGAUUUGCUGGAGUUUUGUGGCGGCUAAAAAGAUGACGCGGAAGUAAACAAGAGGCCCGUCCCACCCGUGGUACAAACGUCGGUAAUUUCUCACCUGCCAACCGCUUAGAGACAGGUCGUUUCCUGGUAGAAUCGGGCCGACGCUGCCCCUCCCCCGCCCAGCCUCACAUGCUUAGAUGACUAGCUAGGAAAGGCAAUCCUAAAAUAAAGCAGCGUUAGCCUUC